UACAGAGGUCCCGAGCGUUGUUCGGAUUCAUUGGGCGUAAAGGGUGCGUAGGCGGCGGGGCAAGUCUGAUGUGAAAUCCCGGGGCUCAACCCCGGAACUGCAUUGGAUACUGCCUUGCUAGAGUACUGGAGAGGGAACUGGAAUUUACGGUGUAGCAGUGAAAUGCGUAGAUAUCAGGAGGAACACCGGUGGCGAAGGCGGGUCUCUGGGCAAUAACUGACGCUGAGGAGCGAAAGCGUGGGGAGCGAACAGG
This 253-nucleotide ribosomal RNA is filed under the name uncultured bacterium. Its description in RNAcentral is "partial 16S ribosomal RNA". It matches the Rfam family "Bacterial small subunit ribosomal RNA", at positions 524 to 776 of the family's 1533-position model. The record is from RNAcentral.